CUUUACUGUAGCUUGAGAUUGGCUUUUGUUUUUAACUGCGCAGAAUAGGUGGGAAGCUUUGAAGACUUUUUUUUGGAAAAGUUGGAGCUGUUAGUGAGAUACCACUCUUUUAAAAUUGAAAGCCUCAUUUUAUUCCGUAAUCCGGAUAAAAGACAGUUUCUGGUGGGCAGUUUGACUGGGGCGGUCACCUCCUAAAAAGUAACGGAGGUGUACAAAGGUUUCCUCAGAUCGGUUAGAAAUCGAUUGUUGAGUGCAAUGGCAAAAGGAAGCUUAACUGUGAGACAAACAAGUCGAGCAGAAACGAAAGUUGGUCAUAGUGAUCUGGCGCUGCUGUGUGGAAAGGGCGCCACUUAACGGAUAAAAGUUA
RNAcentral lists this ribosomal RNA (367 nucleotides) under uncultured organism. Its description in RNAcentral is "bacterial LSU rRNA". It matches the Rfam family "Bacterial large subunit ribosomal RNA", at positions 2099 to 2465 of the family's 2925-position model. The record is from RNAcentral.